CAAUGAUUCUGCAAAGGUGUUUCUUUUCGAUUUCCAAUGGAAAGGAAGAACAUGGUGCAUUGAUGCAUCUGAAGAAGACUCCUCCCUUGGGAGACUCGUUAAUGAUGAUCACUAAAGACUCAAUCUCAAAAUGAAGGCCAUACAAGCAAACGAUGAGCCACACUUGUGCCUCUUCGCGACUCGAGAUAUUGCAGCUGGCGAAGAGUUGACUUAUAGUUACGGUGAUUCAGACUGGCCAUGGAGAACACAGGUCAUCAAAACUGAAUUGUCGUCCAGCC
This is a long non-coding RNA of Salvelinus namaycush (lake trout), 278 nucleotides long. RefSeq lists it as uncharacterized. NCBI's taxonomy places the organism in Eukaryota, Metazoa, Chordata, Actinopteri, Salmoniformes, Salmonidae. The transcript has 3 exons. The record is from RefSeq and is a predicted model, not a curated record.